GCGAACAUCAACUUCUUUUUAUAAGAGAAUUCCAACACAUGGCUUGACCCAAUGAUAACACAACUCAAGACAUUAUAAUCACAUCUGUCAUUUAGAAGCUUAAUGGAAAUUACAUAGGAUAAAGGAAUAAAAGCAGGAAAAAGCUAACAAUCCCAUGUCUGCUACUAAUGACUAUAAAAAGCCUCAAAUCAACUAUCUAUGUUUUGGGCCAUACCACAACUUAUUUUAACUGCUACAAAUACCAUAACUACAAAGCCUAGUAUCACCAUCACCCACAUAAUCUUUUUACCGUACAAUUACUUAAAUGCAAGCAUGCAUAUAAGAACAUAGCAACAUACAUCUAGACGUCAAUUACUAAUGUUUUUGCCUCGCAGUUAAGUUACAAGAUCUCAUCAGGUAAUGGUUUGGUAUGAAACUUUUCAACCUUCGACCUGAUGGAUAAAAUAGUAUCACUCAGUUGAGAAGAUUCACACUCAAGCUCGCUCAAGCGAGCCUUUGUUUCAUCAAUUAGUGCCUUGGUGUCUGCAACUGCUUUUUCUUUUUUAGCUAAAUCCUCCAUCAUUGAUUCUAGCUCUUUCCUUGUUGAUUCUAUAAUAUGAUUGCAGUUGGUUUUGGCUUCCUCGGCUGCUUGUUGCUGUUUAUUGAGUUCCAUAGCUUCCGUGACUCCAUUAAGUAUGCUCUGAAGCCAGCUAACA
This 695-nucleotide unclassified non-coding RNA is filed under the name Hevea brasiliensis (rubber tree). The record is from RNAcentral. Lineage: Eukaryota; Viridiplantae; Streptophyta; Magnoliopsida; Malpighiales; Euphorbiaceae.